RNAcentral lists this ribosomal RNA (3288 nucleotides) under Musa schizocarpa. Its description in RNAcentral is "eukaryotic LSU rRNA". It matches the Rfam family "Eukaryotic large subunit ribosomal RNA". Lineage: Eukaryota; Viridiplantae; Streptophyta; Magnoliopsida; Zingiberales; Musaceae. The record is from RNAcentral.
GCUAAGGGCAAGCCUGCCUGUGCAUCAUGCUUUCGACGCUUCGUCGUUGCCCCCUCGGGGUGCGGGGGCGAAUGCGGAGAAUGGCCCCUCGAACCAGGAUCAGCCCAGUUUGAGAAUCGGGCGGCUACGUCGUCUGAAUUAUAGUCUGGAGAAGUUUCCUCGGCGACGGACCUGGCCCAAGUCCCCUGGAAAGGGGCACUGGGGAGGGUGAGAGCCCCGUCCGGCUCGGACCCUAUCACACCACGAGGCACUGUCGACGAGUCAGCCCCAAUCGUGUGGUAAAUUCCAUCCAAGGCUAAAUAUGGGCGAGAGACCGAUAGCGAACAAGUACCGUAAGGGAAAGAUGAAAAGAACUUUGAAAAGAGAGUCAAAGAGUGCUUGAAAUUACUGGGAGGGAAGCAAAUGGGGGCCGGCGAUGCACCUCGGUCGGAUGCGGAACGACGGUUAGCUGGUCCGUCGCUCGGCUCGGGGUGCGGAUCGAUGUGGGCUGCAUCGAAGGCCAAAGCCCGGAUGGAUCGUUCGUUCGAGGGGAUACCAUCGAUGUGGUCGAGGACAUGACACGCGCCAUCGGCGUGCCCCGCGCGGUACACGCGCGACCUAGGCAUCUGCCAGUGGGCUCCCCAUCCGACCCGUCUUGAAACAUGGACCAAGGAGUCUGACAUGCGUGCGAGUCGAUGGGUGCGGAAACCCGGAAGGCAUAAGGAAGCUAAUUGGCAGGAACCCUCUCUAGGGGUUGCACCGCCGGUCAACCCCGAUCUUCUGUGAAGGGUUCGAGUUGGAGCAUGCAUGUCGGGACCCAAAAGAUGGUGAACUAUGCCUGAGCGAGACGAAGCCAGAGGAAACUCUGGUGGAGGCCCAAAGCGAUACUGACAUGCAAAUCAUUCGUCUGACUUGGGUAUAGGGGCGAAAGACUAAUCGAACCAUCUAGUAGCUGGUUCCCUCCGAAGUUUCCCUCGGGAUAGCUGGAGCCCACGUGCGAGUUCUAUUGGGUAAAGCCAUUGACUAAAGGCAUCAGGGGCGCAACGCCCUCGACCUAUUCUCAAACUUUAAAUAGGUAGGAUGGCGCGGCUACUUCGUUGAGCCGCGUCGCAGAAUCGAGAGCUCCAAGUGGGCCAUUUUUGGUAAGCAGAACAGGCGAUGCGGGAUUAACCGGAAGCUGGGUUAUGGUGCCCAACUGUGCACUAACCUAGACACCACCAAGGGUGUUGGUCGAUUAAGAUAGUAGGACGGUGGUCAUGGAAGUCGAAAUCCACUGAGUGUGUAACAACUCACCUGUCGAAUCAACUAGCCCCUAAAAUGGAUGGCGCUGAAGCGCAUGACCCACACCCGACCAUCGGGGCGAGCACCAAGCCCCGAUGAGUAGGAGGGCGCGGCGGUCGCCGCAAAACCCAGGGCACGAGCCUGGGCGAAGCGGCCGUCGGUGUAGAUCUUGGUGGUAGUAGCAAAUAUUCAAAUGAAAACUUUGAAGGCCGAAGAGGGGAAAGGUUCCAUGUGAACGGCACUUGCACAUGGGUUAGCCGAUCCUAAGGGAUGGGGGAAGCCUGUCCGAGAGCGUUUCUCCGUGCGAGCUUCGAAAGGGAAUCGGGUUAAAAUUCUCGAGCCGGGACGCGGUUGCAGACGGCAACGUUAGGAAGUCUGGAGACACCGACGGGAGCCCCGGGAAGAGUUAUCUUUUCUACUUAACGGCCCGCCCGCCCUAGAAACGGGUCAGCCGGACGUAGGGUCCAGUGGUCGGAAGAGUGCCGCACAUCGCACGGCGUCCAGUGUGCCUCCGGCGACCCUUGAAAAUCCGGAGGACCAAGUGCUGCCCGUGCCUGGUCGUACUCAUAACCGCAUCAGGUCUCCAAGGUGAACAGCCUCUGGCCCAUGGAACAAUGUAGGCAAGAGAAGUCGGCAAAACGGAUUCGUAACUUCGAAAAAAAGAUUGGCUUUGAGGGCUGGGCACGGGGGUCCCGGCCCCGAACCCGUCGGCUGUCGGCGGAUUGCUCGAGCUGCUCUCCCAACGAGAGCGGGUCGCUGGGUGCUGGCCAGGGGACGGACCGGGAACGACCCCCUCAGGGGCCUUCCCCGGGCAUCGAACAGGCGACUCAGAACUGUUACAGACAAGGGGAAACUGACUGUUUAAUUAAAACAAAGCAUUGCAAUGGUCCCCACGGAUGCUCACACAAUGUGAUUUCUGCCCAGUGAUAUGAAUGUCAAAGUGAAGAAAUUCAACCAAGCGCAGGUAAACGACGGGAGUAACUAUGACUCUCUUAUGGUAGCCAAAUGCCUCGUCAUCUAAUUAGUGACGCCCAUGAAUGGAUUAACGAGAUUCCCACUGUCCCUAUCUACUAUCUAGCGAAACCACAACCAAGGGAACGGGCUUGGCAGAAUCAGCGGGGAAAGAAGACCCUGUUGAACUUGACUCUAGUCCGACUUUAUGAAAUGACUUGAGAGGUGUAGGAUAAGUGGGAGUCGGUUCGCCGGUGGAAGUGAAAUACCACUAUUUUUAACGUUAUUUUACUUAUUCCGUGAGUCGGAGGCAGGGCCCGGCCCCUCCUUUUGGACCCAAGGCCCGCCUAGCGGGCCGAUCCUGGAGGAAGACAUUGUCAGGUGGGGAGUUUGGCUGGAGCGGCACAUCUGUUAAAAGAUAACGCAGGUGUCCUAAGAUGAGCUCAAUGAGAACAGAAAUCUCGUGUGGAACAAAAGGGUAAAAGCUCAUUUGAUUGUAAUUUCCAGUAUGAAUACGAACCGUGAAAGUGUGGCCUAUCGAUCUUUUAGACCUUCAUAAUUUAAAGCUAGAGGUGUCAGAAAACUUACCAUAGGGAUAACUGGCUUGUGGUAGCCAAGCGUCCAUAGCGAUGUUGCUUUUUGAUCCUUCGAUGUCAGCUCUUCCUAUCAUUGUGAAGUUGAAUUCACCAAGUGUUUGAUUGUUCACCCACCAAUAGGGAACGUGAGCUGGGUUUAGACCGUCGUGAGACAUGUUAGUUUUACCCUACUGAUGAUCGUGCCAUGAUAGUAAUUCAACCUAGUAUGAGAGGAACCAUUGAUUCACACAAUUGGUCAUCGCGCUUGGCAGAAAAGCCAGUGGGGCGAAGCUACCGUGUGUCGGAUUAUGACUGAACGCCUCUAAGUCAGAAUCCUAGCUAGCAAUCGGCGCUCUCGCCCAUCGUUCACCUCCCGACCCACAGUAGGGGCCUUUGGCCCCCUUGGGCUCGUGUCCCUGGUGUAGCCCCCAUGGUGGUAUAGCCACGGGUGGCCAUCGGGAAGUGAAAUUCCCUACGGAUGACGGGCCGAAUCCUUUGCAGA